RNAcentral lists this non-coding RNA (30 nucleotides) under Rattus norvegicus (Norway rat). Lineage: Eukaryota; Metazoa; Chordata; Mammalia; Rodentia; Muridae. The record is from RNAcentral.
UGAAAAUAGAGACAAUAAAAGGACCCAAAG